RNAcentral lists this long non-coding RNA (841 nucleotides) under Elaeis guineensis (African oil palm). RNAcentral describes it as "long non-coding RNA (EGUI_LNC032052)". Lineage: Eukaryota; Viridiplantae; Streptophyta; Magnoliopsida; Arecales; Arecaceae. The record is from RNAcentral.
CCGUGCCCUCUUCUUCUUUGGUCGGACCAAUUUCGGGCAGGACCAUGCUCCGGCGGCGAUCGGGAUGAGUUGGCGAUGAGGGUCUAGUGGUUCCCAUCCAGAUCCAAAGAUCCAAACAAAAAAAAAGGGCAGAAGAAAGAAAGAGGGCCGGCGGUUCUUCCCCGCUGUGCUUCCCUUCCCUUUCUACGGGCUGCCUCCUUCCCUUCCCACGCGCGGUCGUCCGGCACGGCGCCGCCGACGGCGACCGGUGUCGUUUGAUCCAUGCCCCCCGGUCUUCCCCUUCCUCCCAUCAUCAAAAAAAAUAAAAAGAAAGGGGCCGCUUGCUCUUCCACGUCAUGCCCUCCUCCCAUUAUUUUUAGGGGUGGCGGAGUGGAACCGGCGGCCGACGGAGAAGCCAUGAGAGGGGACAGCGGUCGGCCUCCCAUCGACCGUCGGACCAAAUAAAGAUGGGAAGCGCCGAUUCUGGCGCCCCUUUUCCCACCGCUUGAUGGGGUCGCCUGCCUUCAUGCCUACCGGCAAUGGGUGGCGGAUUGGGGCCGGUAGUCAAUCGAGAUGACCGGCAAGAGGACGCUCCGCCGACCACCGGACUGAGAUUUGGAGAAAGGACGUCGGUUCUUCGCCCCCACUUCCACCGUGAGGGAUGAAACCCACCAUUGGGUUUCGGGUUCGAGUUUUGGGUUCGAUCAGAAAUUCGGACCCAAUUUGGUUAUUUGUUUAUAUAUCAAAUUUACAGUUAAGUCCCUGUAAUACAAUUUUCAGUUUCAGUCCAACAAAAAAUUACAAUCUAGUCUCUAUAAUGUAAUUUAUUAUAUAAAAGAUUCUUAUAUUACAGUUUAGUCCC